RNAcentral lists this ribosomal RNA (200 nucleotides) under uncultured bacterium. Its description in RNAcentral is "partial 16S ribosomal RNA". It matches the Rfam family "Bacterial small subunit ribosomal RNA", at positions 8 to 226 of the family's 1533-position model. The record is from RNAcentral.
AGAGUUUGAUCAUGGCUCAGAAUCAACGCUGGCGGCGUGCCUAACACAUGCAAGUCGCACGAGAAAGGGGCAACCUGAGUAAAGUGGCGCACGGGUGAGUAACACGUGGAUCAUCUACCUUUUGGUGGGGAAUACCCCCGGGAAACUGGGGACAAUUCCGCAUAAGCUCGUAAGAGGAAAGCAGCAAUGCGCCGAAAGAG